Molecule: non-coding RNA, 671 nt
Organism: Paramuricea clavata
Lineage: Eukaryota; Metazoa; Cnidaria; Anthozoa; Malacalcyonacea; Plexauridae
Source: the annotation of a GenBank genome assembly
GCCCCCUCCCUAGUGCCUGACCAUCAGUGGGCCUCGUCUACAGAGUUCAGGGACAUGAAAUGUUGCAUCCCUGAUUGAUUAUUAACAAUUCGUGUUUCCAGGCGCCGCCAAUGUUGUGAAGGGUCAGACAAAAAGUAUGUUUGCCUCCGCAAAAUUGGUAAGUUUAUUCUUUGGAUGGCACAAAUCCGAAAUCUAUUUGCAUUAUAUCAGAACAGUGGUAACUAGGCCAUGUGAGUUAUCAAUUCACUCGCAUAUAUAAUUUAAAUACUUGGUUACCUUUGUUCCAUUCUAUGCUUACAUUAUCAGAACAGUGGUAACUAGGCAUGUAAGUUAUCAAUUCACUCAUAUAUAUAUAAUUUAAAUGCUUGGUUACCUUUGUUCCAUUCUAUGCUUACAUUAUCAGAACAGUGGUAUAACUGGGCAAGCCAUUUGAACAGGAAUUACAUUUUUUCUAGUGGUAUCAAUCAUCCAGUUUUUCGCCUUUUAAACUAAUGGCUGACAAUAGAGUUGUGGCCGGCUACCACGCUGGUAAAAUUCUCUUGAAUUAUCCGGAGAGGAUGCGUGUUCCUAUGGAAGCUCUUAUAAAACUACAUGAGGAAGGAAAAGUGAAACCAGAAAUUCACGAGGUGUUUUCUUUAGAAGAGGUAAGGCAAGUCUGACUUGUGUUUUUC